GACGAACGCUGGCGGCGUGCUUAACACAUGCAAGUCGAACGAGAGGCGAACGGGUGAGUAAUACGUGGGUAAACUGCCCUAUUUAUGGGAUAAGCCUUGGAAACGGGGUGUAAUUCCGGAUAAGGGGGAUGGGCGCGCGGCCUAUCAGCUUGUUGGGGGGGUGAUGGCCUACCAAGGCGGUGACGGGUAGCCGGCCUGAGAGGGUAACCGGGCACAGUGGGACUGAGCAGCGUCCCAGAGUCCGACGGGUGGGAGCAUUGGGGGAUAUUGCACAAUGGGCGAAGGCCUGAUGCAGCGACGCCGCGGGAGGGAUGAGGGCUUUCAGGUUGUAAACCUCUGUCGCAAUCGAACGGGUAGGUGGAGAAGAAGCGCCGGCUAACUACGUGCCAGCAGCCGCGGUAAUAC
This 405-nucleotide ribosomal RNA is filed under the name uncultured bacterium. RNAcentral describes it as "partial 16S ribosomal RNA". It matches the Rfam family "Bacterial small subunit ribosomal RNA", at positions 28 to 526 of the family's 1533-position model. The record is from RNAcentral.